CGGACGGGUGAGUAACGCGUGGAAAACCUGCCGUAUACUGGGGGAUAACACUUAGAAAUAGGUGCUAAUACCGCAUAAGCGCACAGCUUCGCAUGAAGCAGUGUGAAAAACUCCGGUGGUAUACGAUGGUUCCGCGUCUGAUUAGCUAGUUGGUGAGGUAAAAGCCCACCAAGGCAACGAUCAGUAGCCGGCCUGAGAGGGUGAACGGCCACAUUGGGACUGAGACACGGCCCAGACUCCUACGGGAGGCAGCAG
Molecule: ribosomal RNA, 255 nt
Filed under: uncultured bacterium
Lineage: Bacteria
Description: partial 16S ribosomal RNA
Rfam family: Bacterial small subunit ribosomal RNA
Source: RNAcentral